This 380-nucleotide ribosomal RNA is filed under the name uncultured eukaryote. RNAcentral describes it as "partial 18S ribosomal RNA". It matches the Rfam family "Eukaryotic small subunit ribosomal RNA", at positions 592 to 976 of the family's 1831-position model. The record is from RNAcentral.
CAAUAGCGUAUAUUAAAGUUGUUGCAGUUAAAAAGCUCGUAGUUGGAUUUGUGGCGUACGGUGUGUUCCGGGCACUUGUUGUCUGUGUAACCUGCUGUUGCCAUCCUUGGGUGGAACCUGUGUGGCAUUAGGUUGUCGUGCAGGGGAUGCCCAUCAUUUACUGUGAAAAAAUUAGAGUGUUCAAAGCAGGCUUAUGCCGUUGAAUAUAUUAGCAUGGAAUAAUGAGAUAGGACUUUUUUGCUAUUUUGUUGGUUUGCGCAAAGAGGUAAUGAUUAAUAGGGACAGUUGGGGGUAUUCGUAUUCCAUUGUCAGAGGUGAAAUUCUUGGAUUUUUGGAAGACGAACUACUGCGAAAGCAUUUACCAAGGAUGUUUUCAUUAA